RNAcentral lists this ribosomal RNA (253 nucleotides) under uncultured bacterium. Its description in RNAcentral is "partial 16S ribosomal RNA". It matches the Rfam family "Bacterial small subunit ribosomal RNA", at positions 524 to 776 of the family's 1533-position model. The record is from RNAcentral.
UGCGUAGGGCGCAAGCGUUGUCCGGAAUUAUUGGGCGUAAAGAGCUCGUAGGCGGCUUGUCACGUCGGGUGUGAAAGCCCGGGGCUUAACCCCGGGUCUGCAUUCGAUACGGGCUGGCUAGAGUGUGGUAGGGGAGAUCGGAAUUCCUGGUGUAGCGGUGAAAUGCGCAGAUAUCAGGAGGAACACCGGUGGCGAAGGCGGAUCUCUGGGCCAUUACUGACGCUGAGGAGCGAAAGCGUGGGGAGCGAACAGG